CUGGCGGCUCCGAAAAAGGUGUGUGUGCUCUGCAGAUGUUCUCCCAGAGCAGGAGAUGUCCUAAUAAGCAGGCAAAGGGAUUCACUUCUGAUGCAGCACUGACACAGAGGAUCUGGGAAGAGCUGCCACAUCAGUGUGAGGUGGGAGACAGAGUCGAGCUGCCCAGGAAAUGCUUCUGUUGAGUCUCUUUUAUGCUGAGCUUCU
Molecule: long non-coding RNA, 204 nt
Filed under: Chloebia gouldiae (Gouldian finch)
Lineage: Eukaryota; Metazoa; Chordata; Aves; Passeriformes; Passeridae
Description: Erythrura gouldiae (Gouldian finch) lncRNA (ENSEGOG00005002964.1)
Source: RNAcentral